This 416-nucleotide unclassified non-coding RNA is filed under the name soil metagenome. RNAcentral's name for it is "partial contains 5.8S ribosomal RNA, internal transcribed spacer 2, and large subunit ribosomal RNA". The stretch from base 1 to 120 matches the Rfam family "5.8S ribosomal RNA", at positions 35 to 154 of the family's 154-position model. The record is from RNAcentral.
GAUGAAGAACGUAGCGAAAUGCGAUAAGUAAUGUGAAUUGCAGAAUUCAGUGAAUCAUCGAAUCUUUGAACGCACCUUGCACUCCUUGGUAUUCCGAGGAGUACGCCUGUUCGAGUGUUAUGAAGCUCUCAAAACGCAAUUGGCUUAAAACCUGAUUGUUGUUUUGGAUUUGAACUUUGCCGUGUUAUAACGGCUGGUUUUAAAAGUAUUAGCUGGUACUAGAACGAAUUGGUUCUACUCAACGUGAUAAUUAUUUGAUCGUUGAGGACAUUCCUUUCACGAGGAAUGGCCAUAGUAAAUUCAAUGGACUGCUUCUAAUCUGGCUUUAAUUCUUUAUUGGAUUAACCACUUUUCAAAUCUGACCUCGAAUCAGGUGGGACUACCCGCUGAACUUAAGCAUAUCAAUAAGCGGAGGA